AAAAGAAUUAAAGUAUUUUCUCAAAAGGGGUUGCCAAGGCAUUGGGUGCUUGCUAUAGUUCGGCUCCCGUCGCAGAACAAGCAGCGAAACGCAGAGUGUAGCGAGCUGAAUUGGGUGUGAUGGGGGUGAAGAAGUUGUUGUAGAAGUUGAAGUUUUUGUUAGUCGUUUUGAAGAAAUUUAAAACGAAUCUUUUUAAAAAGUUUCUUAAAAAGAUGUUGACGAAAACGAAGACAUGCCACAUAAUCUCAUCUCUCUGCUGCUGACGAACAAAACGAUUCGCAGCGACGCUGAAACAGCGAAGCAGACAAGAAGUUCUUUAAAAAUUAACAGUCGAUAAGUGUGGGCGUUUAAUGGAAGCGCGGCAGUGAAUUUAUUUGCUGCUAUAACUUUAAAUAUUAAAUGCUCACAAAGAAAUAUAGAUACUUUCAGUUAAAUGAAAGUACCUGUCAGUAUUUUGAGUGAGCGACCGGUUCGAAAGAACCAUGUCAGCAAUGACAUAAAACAGAGAUUGAACUGAAGAGUUUGAUCCUGGCUCAGAUUGAACGCUGGCGGCAUGCCUUACACAUGCAAGUCGAACGGCAGCACGGGAGCUUGCUCCUGGUGGCGAGUGGCGAACGGGUGAGUAAUAUAUCGGAACGUACCCUAGAGUGGGGGAUAACGCAGCGAAAGUUGCGCUAAUACCGCAUACGAUCUACGGAUGAAAGUGGGGGAUCGCAAGACCUCAUGCUCAUGGAGCGGCCGAUAUCUGAUUAGCUAGUUGGUAGGGUAAAAGCCUACCAAGGCUUCGAUCAGUAGCUGGUCUGAGAGGACGACCAGCCACACUGGAACUGAGACACGGUCCAGACUCCUACGGGAGGCAGCAGUGGGGAAUUUUGGACAAUGGGCGCAAGCCUGAUCCAGCAAUGCCGCGUGAGUGAAGAAGGCCUUCGGGUUGUAAAGCUCUUUUGUCAGGGAAGAAACGGUGGACUCUAAUACAGAUCACUAAUGACGGUACCUGAAGAAUAAGCACCGGCUAACUACGUGCCAGCAGCCGCGGUAAUACGUAGGGUGCAAGCGUUAAUCGGAAUUACUGGGCGUAAAGCGUGCGCAGGCGGUUGUGCAAGACAGAUGUGAAAUCCCCGGGCUCAACCUGGGAAUUGCAUUUGUGACUGCACGGCUAGAGUGUGUCAGAGGGGGGUAGAAUUCCACGUGUAGCAGUGAAAUGCGUAGAGAUGUGGAGGAAUACCGAUGGCGAAGGCAGCCCCCUGGGAUAACACUGACGCUCAUGCACGAAAGCGUGGGGAGCAAACAGGAUUAGAUACCCUGGUAGUCCACGCCCUAAACGAUGUCUACUAGUUGUUGGGUCUUAAUUGACUUAGUAACGCAGCUAACGCGUGAAGUAGACCGCCUGGGGAGUACGGUCGCAAGAUUAAAACUCAAAGGAAUUGACGGGGACCCGCACAAGCGGUGGAUGAUGUGGAUUAAUUCGAUGCAACGCGAAAAACCUUACCUACCCUUGACAUGUACGGAAUCCCUGAGAGAUUAGGGAGUGCUCGAAAGAGAACCGUAACACAGGUGCUGCAUGGCUGUCGUCAGCUCGUGUCGUGAGAUGUUGGGUUAAGUCCCGCAACGAGCGCAACCCUUGUCAUUAGUUGCUACGAAAGGGCACUCUAAUGAGACUGCCGGUGACAAACCGGAGGAAGGUGGGGAUGACGUCAAGUCCUCAUGGCCCUUAUGGGUAGGGCUUCACACGUCAUACAAUGGUACAUACAGAGGGCCGCCAACCCGCGAGGGGGAGCUAAUCCCAGAAAGUGUAUCGUAGUCCGGAUUGUAGUCUGCAACUCGACUACAUGAAGUUGGAAUCGCUAGUAAUCGCGGAUCAGCAUGUCGCGGUGAAUACGUUCCCGGGUCUUGUACACACCGCCCGUCACACCAUGGGAGCGGGUUUCACCAGAAGUAGGUAGCCUAACCGUAAGGAGGGCGCUUACCACGGUGGGAUUCGUGACUGGGGUGAAGUCGUAACAAGGUAGCCGUAUCGGAAGGUGCGGCUGGAUCACCUCCUUUCU
This 2045-nucleotide ribosomal RNA is filed under the name Herminiimonas fonticola. RNAcentral's name for it is "bacterial SSU rRNA". The stretch from base 511 to 2043 matches the Rfam family "Bacterial small subunit ribosomal RNA". Lineage: Bacteria; Pseudomonadati; Pseudomonadota; Betaproteobacteria; Burkholderiales; Oxalobacteraceae. The record is from RNAcentral.